Molecule: ribosomal RNA, 492 nt
Filed under: uncultured bacterium
Lineage: Bacteria
Description: partial 16S ribosomal RNA
Rfam family: Bacterial small subunit ribosomal RNA
Source: RNAcentral
AGUGAACGCUGGCGGUAGGCCUAACACAUGCAAGUCGAACGGCAGCACAGUAAGAGCUUGCUCUUACGGGUGGCGAGUGGCGGACGGGUGAGGAAUACAUCGGAAUCUACUCUUUCGUGGGGGAUAACGUAGGGAAACUUACGCUAAUACCGCAUACGACCUACGGGUGAAAGCAGGGGAUCUUCGGACCUUGCGCGAUUGAAUGCGCCGAUGUGGGAUUAGAUAGUUGGCGGGGUAAAGGCCCACCAAGGCGGCGAUCCGUAGCUGGUCUGAGAGGAGGAUAGCCGACACGGGAAGUGGGACACGGUCCCGACUCCUACGAGAGGGAGCAGAGUGGAAUAUUGGACAAUGGUGGCAAGUCUGAUACAACGAUCCCGCGUGGGUUGAGGAGGCGUUCGGUGUGUAAAGCCCGUUUGUUGGGAAUGAAACGCAUCAGGUUGAGACCCCGCGGUUCUGACGGUACCCAAAGAAUAAGCACCGGCUAACUUCGUG